GGGUUGCGGACAGUGUCUGGUGGGUAGUUUGACUGGGGCGGUCUCCUCCUAAAGAGUAACGGAGGAGCACGAAGGUUGGCUAAUCCUGGUCGGACAUCAGGAGGUUAGUGCAAUGGCAUAAGCCAGCUUGACUGCGAGCGUGACGGCGCGAGCAGGUGCGAAAGCAGGUCAUAGUGAUCCGGUGGUUCUGAAUGGAAGGGCCAUCGCUCAACGGAUAAAAGGUACUCCGGGGAUAACAGGCUGAUACCGCCCAAGAGUUCAUAUCGACGGCGGUGUUUGGCACCUCGAUGUCGGCUCAUCACAUCCUGGGGCUGAAGUAGGUCCCAAGGGUAUGGCUGUUCGCCAUUUAAAGUGGUACGCGAGCUGGGUUUAGAACGUCGUGAGACAGUUCGGUCCCUAUCUGCCGUGGGCGCUGGAGAACUGAGGGGGGCUGCUCCUAGUACGAGAGGACCGGAGUGGACGCAUCACUGGUGUUCGGGUUGUCAUGCCAAUGGCACUGCCCGGUAGCUAAAUGCGGAAGAGAUAAGUGCUGAAAGCAUCUAAGCACGAAACUUGCCCCGAGAUGAGUUCUCCCUGAGACUUUAGGUCUCCUGAAGGAACGUUGAAGACGACGACGUUGAUAGGCCGGGUGUGUAAGCGCAGCGAUGCGUUGAGCUAACCGGUACUAAUGAACCGUGAGGCUUAACCUU
This 689-nucleotide ribosomal RNA is filed under the name Salmonella enterica. RNAcentral's name for it is "partial 23S ribosomal RNA". It matches the Rfam family "Bacterial large subunit ribosomal RNA", at positions 2242 to 2925 of the family's 2925-position model. RNAcentral also lists the same sequence under 1 other name. Lineage: Bacteria; Pseudomonadati; Pseudomonadota; Gammaproteobacteria; Enterobacterales; Enterobacteriaceae. The record is from RNAcentral.